RNAcentral lists this ribosomal RNA (468 nucleotides) under uncultured bacterium. RNAcentral's name for it is "partial 16S ribosomal RNA". It matches the Rfam family "Bacterial small subunit ribosomal RNA", at positions 28 to 507 of the family's 1533-position model. The record is from RNAcentral.
GACGAACGCUGGCGGCGUGCUUAACACAUGCAAGUCGAACGGAAAGGCCCUGCUUUUGUGGGGUGCUCGAGUGGCGAACGGGCGAGUAACACGUGAGUAACCUGCCCUUGACUUUGGGAUAACUUCAGGAAACUGGGGCUAAUACCGGAUAGGAGCUCCUGCUGCAUGGUGGGGGUUGGAAAGUUUCGGCGGUUGGGGAUGGACUCGCGGCUUAUCAGCUUGUUGGUGGGGUAGUGGCUUACCAAGGCUUUGACGGGUAGCCGGCCUGAGAGGGUGACCGGCCAAAUUGGGACUGGGAUACGGCCCAGAAUCCUACGGGAGGCAGCAGGGGGGAAUAUUGCACAAUGGGCGGAAGCCUGAUGCAGCAACGCCGCGUGCGGGAUGACGGCCUUCGGGGUGUAAACCGCUUUCGCCUGUGACGAAGCGUGAGUGACGGUAAUGGGUAAAGAAGCACCGGCUAACUACGUG